RNAcentral lists this ribosomal RNA (1655 nucleotides) under metagenome. RNAcentral describes it as "SSU rRNA". It matches the Rfam family "Eukaryotic small subunit ribosomal RNA". The record is from RNAcentral.
GUUUCUUGGAUCUCCGCUAUACUUGGAUAACUGUGGUAAUUCUAGAGCUAAUACAUGCAAUCGAGCUCUGACUUCAUAGGACGAGCGCAUUUAUUAGAACAAAACCAAUCGGCCUUGUGCCGUCUUCUGGUGAAUCUGAAUAACUACGCAGAUCGCUUCGGUUUCACACCGGCGACAAAUCCUUCAAGUGUCUGCCUUAUCAACUUUCGAUGGUAGUUUCUACGCCUACCAUGGUUUCGACGGGUAACGGAGAAUUAGGGUUCGACUCCGGAGAGGGAGCCUGAGAAACGGCUACCACUUCUAAGGAAGGCAGCAGGCGCGCAAAUUACCCACUCUCGGCACGAGGAGGUAGUGACGAAAAAUAACGAGAUAACCCGCUCUAGCGAGUUAUCAUCGGAAUGAGUACAAUCUAAAUCCUUUAACGAGGACCUAGCGGAGGGCAAGUCUGGUGCCAGCAGCCGCGGUAAUUCCAGCUCCGCCAGUGUAUAUCUAUGCUGCUGCGGUUAAAAAGCUCGUAGUUGGAUCUUCGUGUUGAUGCCGGUCUGUCUUUGUGACAUGAACUGACCAUCAGCACUGUUUCGUUGGUUUUCCCUUGAUGCCUUUAAUCGGGUGUCCUGGGUGGCCAACAUGUUUACUUUGAAAAAAUUAGAGUGCUUAAAACAAGCGAUUUGCUUGAAUAUUCGUGCAUGGAAUAAUAGAAUAGGCUUUUGGCUCUAUUUUGUUGGUUUUCGGAGCACAAAAGAAUGAUUAAGAGGGACAGACGGGGCAUUCGUACUCCGACGUUAGAGGUGAAAUUCUUGGAUCGUCGGAUGACGCACUACUGCGAAAGCAUUUGCCAAGAAUGUUUUCAUUAAUCAAGAACGAAAGUUAGAGGUUCGAAGGCGAUCAGAUACCGCCCUAGUUCUAACCGUAAACGAUGCCAACUAGCGAUCUGCUGGUGUUUUUUCAGACCCAGCAGGGAGCUUACCGGAAACGAAAGUCUUCAGGUUCCGGGGGAAGUAUGGUUGCAAAGCUGAAACUUAAAGGAAUUGACGGAAGGGCACCACCAGGAGUGGAGCCUGCGGCUUAAUUUGACCCAACUCGGGAAAACUCACCCGGCCCGGACACCGUAAGGAUUGACAGAUUGAGAGCUCUUUCUUGAUUCGGUGGGUGGUGGUGCAUGGCCGUUCUUAGUUGGUGGAUUGAUUUGUCUGGUUUAUUCCGAUAACGAACGAGACUCCAACCUACUAACUAGUGGGCGAAUCUUCUUGUUCGCAACACUUCUUAGAGGGACAAGCAGUGUUUAGCUGCAUGAGAAGGAGCAAUAACAGGUCUGUGAUGCCCUUAGAUGUCCGGGGCUGCACGCGCGCUACACUGAAGGAAUCAACGUGCUAGAAAACCUUGUUUGACAUGGCUAGGUAACCCCUUGAAAAUCCUUCGUGAUUGGGAUCGGGACUUGCAAAUGUGUCCCUUGAACGAGGAAUUCCCAGUAAGUGCGAGUCGUCAGCUCGCGCUGAUUACGUCCCUGCCCUUUGUACACACCGCCCGUCGCUGCCCGGAACUGAGCCGUUUCGAGAAGACUGGGGACUGCCGACUUAGGGCCCUCACGGGUUUUUUGUCAGUGGAAACCAAUUUAAUCGCAGCGGCUUGAACCGGGCAAAAGUCGUAACAAGGUU